CAUAGCAGUGAGGAAUAUUGGUCAAUAGCCUAACGGCUGAACCAGCAACUUGGAAGAAUGAAAGGCGCAAACCCGCGUCGUUAUAAUAAAAAAUUAUAGUAGUAACUACGUUACAUUAAGUUCUAGGUAAGUUUUUGAUUAUGACAUAAUUUAUCUAUAAGUCUUGACCAAAUCAUGUGCCAGCAGUCGCGGUAAGACAUGGGAGACAAGUGUUAUUCAUCUUUAGCAGGUUUAAAAGGUACUCAGACAGUUAAUUAAGCCUAUCGUAGAUGAGGGACUAAUUAUACUAGAGUUUUAUAGGAGAGGGCUAGAACGGUGAGUGGAGAGAUAAAAUAUGUUGAUACCAUCUAGACACUAGCAUCAGUGAAGCAACCCUUUAUGUAAUAACUGACGUUAAAGGACGAAGGCUCAGAAGAAAGCAACAGGAUUAGAUACCCCAGUACUGUGGGCAGACAAUGAUGAGUGUCAUAGGUAAGUUUCUUAAUUUAAAAUUUAAAUUAUAAGUUUACGUAUAAAUGAAAGUGCAAGCACUCUACCUUAAGAGUAACAUGGCAACAUCGGAACUGAAAUCAUUAGACCGUUUCUGAAACCAGUAGUGAAGUAUGUUGUUUAAUUUGAUGACCCACAAAGAACCUUACCACAAUUUGAAUGUUUCUAUAAAAAAACAAAUAGAUUCACAGGAGUUGCACGGCUGUUUUUAGUUGAUAUCGUGAGAUUUUGGUUAGCUCCAUAAAUCAACGUAAACCCUUACUUUAUUUUUUCAUAAAGUAUCUCACCUCUGGACCGGAGGUGUUAAUAGGGAUUAAGACAAGUCAUCAUGACCUAAAUAUUGUGGGC
This 837-nucleotide ribosomal RNA is filed under the name Porina mastoidea. Its description in RNAcentral is "SSU rRNA". It matches the Rfam family "Bacterial small subunit ribosomal RNA", at positions 347 to 1214 of the family's 1533-position model. The record is from RNAcentral. Lineage: Eukaryota; Fungi; Ascomycota; Lecanoromycetes; Ostropales; Porinaceae.